Molecule: long non-coding RNA, 737 nt
Organism: Vigna angularis (adzuki bean)
Lineage: Eukaryota; Viridiplantae; Streptophyta; Magnoliopsida; Fabales; Fabaceae
Exons: 3
Source: RefSeq, a predicted model, not a curated record
UUGGAGUCCAUGAGGAUGAGGAAGUAGAAUAUCUUCCUUUCUUGGUUGAGUUUGAAGAGAGUCCUGAUUGUUUCUGUCUUUUCUGUUGCGGAACAUUUCCAGAUAUUCUGCCAGGGUGAAUUCUUUAAUAGACUAGCGGAUCGGCGUGCAAAUGAGAGUGGAGUUUCACUCAAAUGCGACAGUUCUUCCUUGAAUGGUGAUUCUUCUAAAUUUCUCACUGAUGCCUGAGUUAAACCGAUAUUUCCAUGAGACUUCAAAUCAAGAGGAAAAACAUUUUCUCCAAAAUCUGGAUCUUUCUCUGUUUCUGUUAUCAAAUUUGUGAAGUACACGGAAUCAGGAAUGUCAAAGCUUUUAUCAAAUAAGGGGCUGUCUGUCAAGUCGACCACCUCGCCUCUAACAUCUUCAUGCAGCUUCUCAGAAUUACUAAGGCUAUUCCAAUUCACACUUUUUCCCAUCAAAUCAAUAUCCAGUAUUUCAUUUUGAGCCAAGUCUUUAUUUUUCAAAGAUAAACCGGGUUGUCUCAGUUGCUCUAAUUUUGGGGGAGCUUUGCAGUUCCCUGGUGAAUAGGAGACUCCAGAACGGAUUCGCAUCGUAGCCGCGUUGAUGCUCUGCUUUUGAUCAAAAAACUCACUCAUGGAUAAACUUGUCUUUGCAAACUCACUGGAUCUCUCAUCAUUUUUUGGAAUACCAAAAUUGAAAAGUUUUGGCAAGGUAGAGGAAUCAGGGGCAGCCUUAAC